This 500-nucleotide ribosomal RNA is filed under the name uncultured bacterium. RNAcentral's name for it is "bacterial SSU rRNA". It matches the Rfam family "Bacterial small subunit ribosomal RNA", at positions 28 to 541 of the family's 1533-position model. The record is from RNAcentral.
GACGAACGCUGGCGGCGUGCUUAAUACAUGCAAGUCGAACGAGGUUACAAGUUGGGUAACUAAUUUGUAGCUUAGUGGCGGACGGGUGAGUAACGCGUGGGCAAUCUGCCCUCUAGCCUGGGAUAACAGUUCGAAAGGACUGCUAACACCGGAUAUGAUGGUGUCACGGCAUCGUGAAGCCAUGAAAGUUUACACUAGAGGAUGAGCCCGCGUCCCAUUAGCUAGUUGGUGAGGUAACGGCCCACCAAGGCGACGAUGGGUAGCCGACCUGAGAGGGUGAACGGCCACACUGGGACUGAGACACGGCCCAGACUCCUACGGGAGGCAGCAGUAGGGAAUUUUCCGCAAUGGGCGAAAGCCUGACGGAGCAACGCCGCGUGAGGGAUGAAGGUCUUCGGAUCGUAAACCUUUGUCUAGAGGGACGAUAAUGACGGUACCUCUGGAGGAAGCCACGGCUAACUACGUGCCAGCAGCCGCGGUAAUACGUAGGUGGCGAGCGU